UCCCACCCCCAUACCAGCCUGAUUAUGCCCGAUCUUGUCUGAUCUUGGAAGCUAAGCAGGGUCAGGCCAGUUAGUACUUGCAUGGGAGAUCGCCUGGGAAUACUGGGUGCUGUGGAAU
RNAcentral lists this ribosomal RNA (118 nucleotides) under Aotus nancymaae (Ma's night monkey). Lineage: Eukaryota; Metazoa; Chordata; Mammalia; Primates; Aotidae. The record is from RNAcentral.